Molecule: ribosomal RNA, 442 nt
Filed under: uncultured bacterium
Lineage: Bacteria
Description: bacterial SSU rRNA
Rfam family: Bacterial small subunit ribosomal RNA
Source: RNAcentral
CCUACGGGUGGCUGCAGUCAAGAAUAUUCCGCAAUGGACGAAAGUCUGACGGAGCGACGCCGCGUGCAGGAAGAAGCCCUUCGGGGUGUAAACUGCUUUUCUCUAUGACGAAUUUGUGACGGUAAUAGAGGAAUAAGAGGUUGCUAACUCUGUGCCAGCAGCAGCGGUGAUACAGAGACCUCAAACGUUAUCCGGAUUCAUUGGGCGUAAAGCGUCCGCAGGUGGUUUAUUAAGUUAGUGGUUAAAUCCUGGGGCUUAACUUCAGGACUGCUGUUAAUACUGAUAAACUCGAGGCUGGGAGAGGUGAGCGGAAUUCUCGGUGUAGUCGUAAUAAGCGCUGAUAUCGAGAAGAACACCAAAGGCAAAGGCAGCUCACUAGAACAUGCCUGACACUCAUGGACCAAAGCGUGGGUAGCGAAUGGGAUUAGAUACCCGGGUAGUC